RNAcentral lists this long non-coding RNA (209 nucleotides) under Elaeis guineensis (African oil palm). RNAcentral's name for it is "long non-coding RNA (EGUI_LNC028802)". The record is from RNAcentral. Lineage: Eukaryota; Viridiplantae; Streptophyta; Magnoliopsida; Arecales; Arecaceae.
UCCUUUUCUGUUUGAGUUACUCUGGCUAUAUUUACAUUAGAAAUAGUCUUCCAAAACUUCUAAGUGUUUCAGAUAUUCACAUCAGACAAAAAUUCAAAUCAGAAAUACUCAUCCAACACUUCUAAGUGUUUCAAAGUGGAGAAGAGAAAAUUGUCAUUUGCCUUGUCCUUGCAUAUGGAGUAUUUUCACUAUGAAUUUUGUAUGAUCUG